This 88-nucleotide transfer RNA is filed under the name Microbacterium sp. TNHR37B. RNAcentral describes it as "tRNA-Glu". The record is from RNAcentral. Lineage: Bacteria; Bacillati; Actinomycetota; Actinomycetes; Micrococcales; Microbacteriaceae.
GAGCGCGCGCGGGCGGGUGUCGCCCUCGUCGCUCUCGACGACGCGGUCGAGGAGCUCGAGCUGGAGGUCGCCCUCUCCGGCGCGCUCU